Non-coding RNA from Acanthosepion pharaonis, 115 nucleotides. The record is from the annotation of a GenBank genome assembly. Lineage: Eukaryota; Metazoa; Mollusca; Cephalopoda; Sepiida; Sepiidae.
UUAUGGCCAUAUCAUGUUGAAACACUAGUUCUCAUAUGAUCAUUGAAGUUAAGCAACAUCAAGGCUGGUCAGUAUCAAGAUGGAUGACUGUUUGGGAGUAUCUGAUGCUGCAAGC